RNAcentral lists this non-coding RNA (65 nucleotides) under unclassified sequences. RNAcentral describes it as "S15-Flavobacteria ribosomal protein leader". It matches the Rfam family "S15-Flavobacteria ribosomal protein leader". The record is from RNAcentral.
UACCUUUGCACUCGAAUAGGAAAAGCCUAUUCCUACAUAAUAAUCAUUUAAAUAAUAUUAGCAUG